GAUGAACGCUGGCGGCGUGCCUAAUACAUGCAAGUCGAGCGAACAGACGAGGAGCUUGCUCCUUUGACGUUAGCGGCGGACGGGUGAGUGACACGUAGGUAACUUACCUAUAAGACUGGGAUAACUUCGGGAAACCGGAGCUAAUACCGGAUAAUAUUUCGAACCGCAUGGUUCGAUAGUGAAAGAUGGCUUUGCUAUCACUUAUAGAUGGACCUGCGCCGUAUUAGCUAGUUGGUAAGGUAACGGCUUACCAAGGCAACGAUACGUAGCCGACCUGAGAGGGUGAUCGGCCACACUGGAACUGAGACACGGUCCAGACUCCUACGGGAGGCAGCAGUAGGGAAUCUUCCGCAAUGGGCGAAUGCCUGACGGAGCAACGCCGCGUGAGUGAUGAAGGUCUUCGGAUCGUAAAACUCUGUUAUUAGGGAAGAACAAACGUGUAAGUAACUGUGCACGUCUUGACGGUACCUAAUCAGAAAGCCACGGCUAACUACGUG
Molecule: ribosomal RNA, 497 nt
Filed under: uncultured bacterium
Lineage: Bacteria
Description: partial 16S ribosomal RNA
Rfam family: Bacterial small subunit ribosomal RNA
Source: RNAcentral